Molecule: ribosomal RNA, 570 nt
Filed under: Acisoma panorpoides
Lineage: Eukaryota; Metazoa; Arthropoda; Insecta; Odonata; Libellulidae
Description: eukaryotic LSU rRNA
Rfam family: Eukaryotic large subunit ribosomal RNA
Source: RNAcentral
UCGCGGCGGUGUGCGCAGAAGGGUCUGGGCUCGAGCCUGCCUGAGCCGCCGCCGGUGCAGAUCUUGGUGGUAGUAGCAAAUACUCCAGCGAGGCCCUGGAGGACUGAUGUGGAGAAGGGUUUCGUGUGAACAGCCGUUGCACACGAGUCAGUCGAUCCUAAGCCCUAGGAGAAAUCCGAUGCAAACGGCGAUGGGAAACGCACUGAACUCGAUUUCUUGAGAGACAGAGACCCAUUGAUCGGGCGAAAGGGAAUCCGGUUCCUAUUCCGGAACCCGGCAGCGGAACCGUUGUUUGUCGGGCCCUCACAAGGGGUUCGUCAGGGCAACCUAAAAGGGCCCGGAGACGCCGUCGGGGGCCCCGGAAAGAGUUUUCUUUUCUGCAUGAGCGUUCGAGUUCCCUGGAAUCCUCUCGCAGGGAGAUAGGGUUUGGAACGCGAAGAGCACCGCAGUUGCGGCGGUGCACGGGAAUUCCCGACGGACCUUGAAAAUCCGGGAGAGGGCCACGUGGAGGUGUCGCGCCGGCUCGUACCCAUAUCCGCAGCAGGUCUCCAAGGUGAAGAGCCUCUAGUC